CCUACGGGUGGCAGCAGUGAGGAAUAUUGGUCAAUGGGCGGAAGCCUGAACCAGCCAAGUAGCGUGCGGGAUGAAGGCCCUACGGGUCGUAAACCGCUUUUGCACGGGGAUAAAACCGUCAACUUGUGGAGGUCUGCAGGUACGGUGCGAAUAAGGGCCGGCUAAUUCCGUGCCAGCAGCCGCGGUAAUGCGGAAGGCCCGUGCGUUAUCCGGAUUCAGUUGGCUUAAAGGGAGCGUAGGCGGGCGUUCAAGUCAGCUGUAAAAUCGCGCGGCUCAACCGCGCCCCGCAGUUGAAACUGGACGCCUUGAGUUCACAACAGGCAGGCGGAAUUCGUGGUGUAGCGGUGAAAUGCGUAGAUAUCACGAGGAACCCCGAUUGCGAAGGCAGCCUGCCGGGGCGCUACUGACGCUGAGGCUCGAAGGUGCGGGUAUCAAACAGGAUUAGAUACCCGGGUAGUC
RNAcentral lists this ribosomal RNA (459 nucleotides) under uncultured bacterium. RNAcentral's name for it is "partial 16S ribosomal RNA". It matches the Rfam family "Bacterial small subunit ribosomal RNA", at positions 338 to 795 of the family's 1533-position model. The record is from RNAcentral.